This 77-nucleotide transfer RNA is filed under the name Actinomycetota bacterium. RNAcentral describes it as "tRNA-Pro". It matches the Rfam family "tRNA". From Rfam's summary of the family: Transfer RNA (tRNA) molecules are approximately 80 nucleotides in length. The record is from RNAcentral. Lineage: Bacteria; Bacillati; Actinomycetota.
CGGGGCGUGGCGCAGUUUGGUAGCGCACCAGGCUGGGGGUCUGGUGGUCGCUGGUUCGAAUCCAGUCGCCCCGACCA